This is a long non-coding RNA of Lolium rigidum, 601 nucleotides long. RefSeq lists it as uncharacterized. The transcript has 3 exons. The record is from RefSeq and is a predicted model, not a curated record. NCBI's taxonomy places the organism in Eukaryota, Viridiplantae, Streptophyta, Magnoliopsida, Poales, Poaceae.
CCGCCGCCUCAGAACCUGAUGCCGCCGCCGCUUCAGCACCUGGUGCCCUCGCCGCUGAGGUUCCUGCCGACGUAGGCUCCUUCGGCCGUCCGUCCUCUCGUACUUGGAGGCUGCAGACUAGCAGAUCUCCAGAUGGAUGGAGUGGUCGCAUGCGCUCCAUUCGUUCAUCCGCCAGUUAUUCGCUUCACCUCCCCAGGACACAUGACAGAGUCCAUUUCAUCCUUUGUGAGAAGAGUGGAGGUAGGUAUAUUUUGCUAAACAAUAUUCGUCCUUAUCAUUUAUUGUCGUGCUUCUAAACCAUUUCAUCUUUGCCCUGUUUCUGUAUCUGUAACCAUUUCACCACUGCCAUGUAACAUGAAAUUUAUUCUUUACUUGUCUACAUCCCUGUUAUAAUAUCCGUCUUUUAUUUCUUAUUCAUGGCAUGAUUGUAAUUUAGCUAGGAUAUAAUGAUUACUAUUGCUGGAUGUUUGGUUUGGUGCUUCCUGAUUGAGUUAGGCUGCCGAGUGCUUCAAGUUAGCUAUGCUUUCUUUUUAAGUCCCGGACUCCCGGUUGCAUCAUGAUUUGUUGUUUUACUAAGAUGCUGAUUAAGACACAUACUUGG